Molecule: ribosomal RNA, 253 nt
Filed under: uncultured bacterium
Lineage: Bacteria
Description: partial 16S ribosomal RNA
Rfam family: Bacterial small subunit ribosomal RNA
Source: RNAcentral
UACGUAGGGGGCGAGCGUUGUCCGGAAUUAUUGGGCGUAAAGAGCUCGUAGGCGGCUUGGCAAGUCGGACGUGAAAACUCCAGGCUCAACCUGGAGCCGCCAUUCGAUACUGCUAUGGCUAGAGUCCGGUAGGGGAUGUGGAAUUCCCGGUGUAGCGGUGAAAUGCGCAGAUAUCGGGAGGAACACCGAUGGCGAAGGCAGCACUCUGGGCCGGCACUGACGCUGAGGAGCGAAAGCGUGGGGAGCGAACAGG